This 253-nucleotide ribosomal RNA is filed under the name uncultured bacterium. RNAcentral describes it as "partial 16S ribosomal RNA". It matches the Rfam family "Bacterial small subunit ribosomal RNA", at positions 524 to 776 of the family's 1533-position model. The record is from RNAcentral.
UACGAAGGGGGCUAGCGUUGCUCGGAAUCACUGGGCGUAAAGCGCACGUAGGCGGCUUUUUAAGUCAGGGGUGAAAUCCUGGAGCUCAACUCCAGAACUGCCUUUGAUACUGGGAAGCUUGAGUCCGGGAGAGGUGAGUGGAACUCCGAGUGUAGAGGUGAAAUUCGUAGAUAUUCGGAAGAACACCAGUCGCGAAGGCGGCUCACUGGCCCGGUACUGACGCUGAGGCACGAAAGCGUGGGGAGCAAACAGG